GCGAAUGUGAUGUAACGGCAGCAUGAGACGCUUCCAACGUCUUCGUACUGGUUCAAAUCCUGUCAUUCGCU
Molecule: transfer RNA, 71 nt
Filed under: Pseudanabaena sp. RU_4_16
Lineage: Bacteria; Bacillati; Cyanobacteriota; Cyanophyceae; Pseudanabaenales; Pseudanabaenaceae
Description: tRNA-Gly
Rfam family: tRNA
About the family: Transfer RNA (tRNA) molecules are approximately 80 nucleotides in length. Their secondary structure includes four short double-helical elements and three loops (D, anti-codon, and T loops). Further hydrogen bonds mediate the characteristic L-shaped molecular structure. tRNAs have two regions of fundamental functional importance: the anti-codon, which is responsible for specific mRNA codon recognition, and the 3' end, to which the tRNAs corresponding amino acid is attached (by aminoacyl-tRNA synthetases). tRNAs cope with the degeneracy of the genetic code in two manners: having more than one tRNA (with a specific anti-codon) for a particular amino acid; and 'wobble' base-pairing, i.e. permitting non-standard base-pairing at the 3rd anti-codon position.
Source: RNAcentral